Camellia sinensis is the source of this 681-nucleotide non-coding RNA. NCBI's taxonomy places the organism in Eukaryota, Viridiplantae, Streptophyta, Magnoliopsida, Ericales, Theaceae. The record is from RefSeq and is a predicted model, not a curated record.
CCCUUAAUAUUGUGAUUUUCUUUUGAGUUUUUCUUAUAAAUGUUUUAAAUUAUUUUAUCUUUGAUUUAUCAUAAAUUUGUUGAAAUUAUUAUUAUGUCUUGUUUCAUUGAAGUCUACAGUUUCAUUGGAAAGAAAUAUCAGCACUUUUGCCUGUUCAAUGGUAUGCUUUGUGCCUGGGUUUAUUUGCAUCAAUUAUAGCUCUUUAGGGGUUAUUUUUUGCAAGUGGCUUGAAGAGAGCUUUUCAAAUUAAGGAUUUUGGUGAUACAUUCCUGGACAUGGUGGGUUUACUGACAGAAUGGACUGUCAGUUGCUUGAAGCAGCCUGGUGUUUUACAAACAUAGCAGCAGGAAAGCCAGAAGAGACUAGAGCUUUGUAGACUGCUUUACCAUUGCUCAUUGCUCAUCUUGGAGGUUGGUGAUGGUUUCUGCAUUUUCCAUUCAAUGUGAAAGAAUGUAAAUGUCUCUUUCUUUUUCUUAUCAGAAAAAGCAAACGCUUUUUUCCUUUUUCUUCUUCUUUUUGUGUGUAGUAUUUUCUUUCUCCAUAGCCUCUUCAUAAAUUAAUACCGGAAAGUUGUUAUGGCUUUCUGAGACCUAAGAGUGACUGACAGUAAUUAAAGAUAUCAGGUUAAGUACUCUACAUUGAAAUUGGAUUACAUAACCAAGUAUGUCCAUUUUUUGAUCA